GGGUCUACAUGAGAGAUAAAUUAGCAAUUAAAUGAUUAAAGAGAUCUAAACUAAAAAUCUUCUCAAUAAUAUUAAGUCGAGGGGUCUUCCACCAUUGUAGAGCACCGUGCCCUCUCUGAUGUUGAUUAUUUUCAGCUGGAUAUAGUGGAUCAGUUGCAUCAGGAGAGAAGCAAUCACUCUAAAUACAGAGUGGAGAUGGAGUUGGGCUCAAGAUCUAUCAGGUGAGGGUUCAAUAGUUGCUUCACUUAUGCUCAAUGAUGAAUCUGACUUAACUAAGGAA
Molecule: long non-coding RNA, 280 nt
Filed under: Elaeis guineensis (African oil palm)
Lineage: Eukaryota; Viridiplantae; Streptophyta; Magnoliopsida; Arecales; Arecaceae
Description: long non-coding RNA (EGUI_LNC069657)
Source: RNAcentral